AACCAUAGAAACCUGCGGAGUACCUGCGGAAGGAUCAUUACAGAGUUGCAAAACUCCCUAAACCAUUGUGAACGUUACCUAAACCGUUGCUUCGGCGGGCGGCCCGGGUCCUUCCCGGCGCCCAUCGGCCCUCGCGGGCGCCCGCCGGAGGUAAACCAAACUAUUGCAUUGUAUGGCCUCUCUGAGUCUUCUGUACUGAAUUAGUCAAAACUUUCAACAAUGGAUCUCAGAUCGGAAGAG
RNAcentral lists this unclassified non-coding RNA (240 nucleotides) under soil metagenome. Its description in RNAcentral is "partial contains 5.8S ribosomal RNA, internal transcribed spacer 2, and large subunit ribosomal RNA". The record is from RNAcentral.